Molecule: ribosomal RNA, 253 nt
Filed under: uncultured bacterium
Lineage: Bacteria
Description: partial 16S ribosomal RNA
Rfam family: Bacterial small subunit ribosomal RNA
Source: RNAcentral
UACGGAGGGUGCAAGCGUUAAUCGGAAUUACUGGGCGUAAAGCGUGCGCAGGCGGUUUGUUAAGUCCGCUGUGAAAUCCCCGAGCUCAACUUGGGAAUUGCAGUGGAUACUGGCAAGCUGGGGUAUGGUAGAGGAAGGUGGAAUUCCCGGUGUAGCAGUGAAAUGCGCAGAUAUCAGGAGGAACACCGAUGGCGAAGGCAGCUCGCUGGGACGGUACUGACGCUGAGGCGCGAAAGCGUGGGGAGCAAACAGG